This 274-nucleotide ribosomal RNA is filed under the name uncultured bacterium. RNAcentral describes it as "partial 16S ribosomal RNA". It matches the Rfam family "Bacterial small subunit ribosomal RNA", at positions 335 to 627 of the family's 1533-position model. The record is from RNAcentral.
AGCCUACGGGACGCAGCAGUGGGGGAUAUUGCACAAUGGGGGAAACCCUGAUGCAGCGACGCCGCGUGUGGGAAGACGGUCCUCUGGAUUGUAAACCACUGUCCCCAGGGACGAAGAUGACGGUACCUGGGGAGGAAGCUCCGGCUAACUACGUGCCAGCAGCCGCGGUAAUACGUAGGGAGCGAGCGUUGUCCGGAAUUACUGGGGGUAAAGGGAGCGUAGGCGGGGAUGCAAGUUGGGUGUCAUAAGUCCCGGCUCAACUGGGAGUAGCACU